ACGCGAAAGGGGGGGCAACUCCCCAAGUAGAGUGGCGAACGGGUGAGUAACACGUGGGUAACCUGCCUCCGGGUUUGGGAUAACACUCCCAAAGGGGUGCUAAUACCGAAUGAUGCAGCGGCUCCGCAUGGAGAUGUUGUUAAAGGUGGCCUCUGCUUGCAAGCUACCGCCUGGAGAUGGACCCGCGUCCGAUUAGCUUGUUGGUGAGGCAACGGCUCACCAAGGCGACGAUCGGUAGCCGGCCUGAGAGGGUGAGCGGCCACACUGGGACUGAGAUAAGGCCCAGUCCCCUACGGGGGCCAGCAGUCUAGAAAUUUGCACAAUGGGCGAAAGCCUGAUGCAGCGACGCCACGUGGGCGAUGAAGCCCUUAGGGGUGUAAAGCCCUGUCAGGAGGAACGAAUGGCGGAGGCGUGAAUAACUCCUCCGAGUGACGGUACCUCCAGAGGAAGCUCCGGCUAACUCUGUGCCAGCAGCCGCGGUAAUACAGAGGGAGCAAGCGUUGUUCGGAAUUACUGGGCGUAAAGGGCGCGCAGGCGGGCUUGUAAGUCAGGCGUGAAAACUAUCGGCUCAACUGAUAGAUUGCGUUUGAGACUGCAGGUCUUGAGUACGGGAGAGGAAGGUGGAACUCUGCGUGUAGCGGUGAAAUGCGUAGAUAUGCAUAGGAACACCAGUGGCGAAAGCGGCCUUCUAGCCCGAUACUGACGCUGAGGCGCGAAAGCGUGGGGAGCAAACAGGA
RNAcentral lists this ribosomal RNA (737 nucleotides) under uncultured bacterium. Its description in RNAcentral is "bacterial SSU rRNA". It matches the Rfam family "Bacterial small subunit ribosomal RNA", at positions 66 to 777 of the family's 1533-position model. The record is from RNAcentral.